GGAGAGGUGGGAGAGCCUGGUUUAAUCCACCAACUUGGAAAGUUGGCAUACCUUUGGUAUCGCAAGUUCGAAUCUUGUCCUCUCCGCCA
RNAcentral lists this transfer RNA (89 nucleotides) under Candidatus Pelagibacter sp. Its description in RNAcentral is "tRNA-Ser". It matches the Rfam family "tRNA". Rfam says of the family: Transfer RNA (tRNA) molecules are approximately 80 nucleotides in length. Their secondary structure includes four short double-helical elements and three loops (D, anti-codon, and T loops). Lineage: Bacteria; Pseudomonadati; Pseudomonadota; Alphaproteobacteria; Candidatus Pelagibacterales; Candidatus Pelagibacteraceae. The record is from RNAcentral.